GCUUGCUGGUGUGGAUGAGUGGCGAACGGGUGANNAANANGUGAGUAACCUGCCCUUGACUCUGGGAUAAGCCCGGGAAANUGGGUCUAAUACUGGAUGCUACAUGUCACCGCAUGGUGGUGUGUGGAAAGGGUUUACUGGUCUUGGAUGGGCUCACGGCCUAUCAGCUUGUUGGUGAGGUAAUGGCUCACCAAGGCGACGACGGGUAGCCGGCCUGAGAGGGUGACCGGCCACACUGGGACUGAGACACGGCCCAGACUCCUACGGGAGGCAGCAGUGGGGAAUAUUGCACAAUGGGCGAAAGCCUGAUGCAGCGACGCCGCGUGAGGGAUGACGGCCUUCGGGUUGUAAACCUCUUUCAGCAGGGAAGAAGCCACAAGUGACGGUACCUGCAGAAGAAGCGCCGGC
This 408-nucleotide ribosomal RNA is filed under the name Kocuria sp. AK3-1. Its description in RNAcentral is "bacterial SSU rRNA". It matches the Rfam family "Bacterial small subunit ribosomal RNA", at positions 78 to 497 of the family's 1533-position model. Lineage: Bacteria; Bacillati; Actinomycetota; Actinomycetes; Micrococcales; Micrococcaceae. The record is from RNAcentral.